UAGGGAAUAUUGCACAAUAGGCGGAAGCCUGAUGCAGCAACGCCGCGUGAGUGAAGAAGGCCUUCGGGUCGUAAAACUCUUUUCAAGAGGAAGAGGAAGGACGGUACUCUUGGAAUAAGCCUCGGCUAACUACGUGCCAGCAGCCGCGGUAACACGUAGGAGGCGAGCGUUAUUCGGAUUUACUGGGCGUAAAGCGCGUGCAGGCGGCUAUACAAGUUGGAUGUGAAAGCUCCCGGCUUAACUGGGAGAGGACGUUCAAAACUGAAUAGCUAGAGUAUGAGAGAGGAAAAUGGAAUUCCGGGUGUAGUGGUGAAAUGCGUAGAUAUCCGGAGGAACACCAGUGGCGAAGGCGAUUUCUGGCUCAAGACUGACGCUCAGACGCGAAAGCUAGGGUAGCAAACG
Molecule: ribosomal RNA, 402 nt
Filed under: uncultured bacterium
Lineage: Bacteria
Description: bacterial SSU rRNA
Rfam family: Bacterial small subunit ribosomal RNA
Source: RNAcentral